CUUCUGGGGUUUCCUGGCUAAUGAUCUCCAUCAGUCCGUCCGACAGAGUCCCACACACACAGCUGACGUUUCUCUGGGGUUUUUCUCCAGUUCAUUAGCGGUCCUCCUCUUGACUCGAGCUGAUCCCCAGAAUCUGAAUCUGAUGGUUCUCUGCUGGAGGCAGACCUGCAGCUGGGCGGAGAGCGAACACCUUCUGUCCAUUCAUUAACUCCAAAUGAGCCUUCAGCUCCAGCUCCAGGAAAUCCCGUUUGUUACCAGAAGCUGCUAGUUGUAGUUGCCAGGCAACAGCUUGUAACUAAGCGUAAAUGAUGGCGAGCCUCAGAUGGACGCCCACAGAGAGGUCCCGUGUUCGGAGUCCUGUUAGAGCCCACGAGGUUUCUGUGAGUCUGAAUGGAGUCUGCUGCCUGGGGAGGGACGUCUGCGAAAGCUCUCAGCGCCUCACAAAAGUGCCACCGUGAGUGCAUAUAUCGCUGAAGGGAUUCCUGCUCUGGAUUCAGAGGAUUCACAGAAGUAAGCAAGUUUACGUGAAAGACUCACCUACAAGAUUUAUAAGGCAGAAGUGGAAAUGGAAGUUCAGGAAACGCAGAGAGAAAAGGAAAUAGACCAGAAAAAGG
Molecule: long non-coding RNA, 614 nt
Organism: Oryzias melastigma (Indian medaka)
Lineage: Eukaryota; Metazoa; Chordata; Actinopteri; Beloniformes; Adrianichthyidae
Exons: 3
Source: RefSeq, a predicted model, not a curated record